UGGACUGGUCAUGGCAGCAGAUCAGGAAAAAUUCAGGACCCUAUGUAGUACACGCACUUCGGAAGCCCACCAAAGCUCACAGCCAUAGCGGUGCACGACUAAUGGUACCCCAUAGCAAGGUCAGAGUUAACCACUAACUCUUCUUUCACUUUUCUCUCCAUUUCUCUAUGAACUCAUGAAUAAAACGGCUGCCCUACCUGC
Molecule: long non-coding RNA, 201 nt
Filed under: Bos taurus (domestic cattle)
Lineage: Eukaryota; Metazoa; Chordata; Mammalia; Artiodactyla; Bovidae
Description: long non-coding RNA NONBTAT024424
Source: RNAcentral